Callithrix jacchus (white-tufted-ear marmoset) is the source of this 96-nucleotide Y RNA. It matches the Rfam family "Y RNA". Rfam says of the family: Y RNAs are components of the Ro ribonucleoprotein particle (Ro RNP), in association with Ro60 and La proteins. The Y RNAs and Ro60 and La proteins are well conserved, but the function of the Ro RNP is not known. The record is from Ensembl. NCBI's taxonomy places the organism in Eukaryota, Metazoa, Chordata, Mammalia, Primates, Cebidae.
AGCUGGUCCAAUGGUAGUGGUUUACCAAAACUUACUAACAUUGGUGUCACUAAGGUUGGUACACAACUCCCAACUACUAAAUUUGACUGGCUAAAA